AUGCGGCGGCCUGCUGGCAGGGGGCUGCCAGGGCCAGGGCUAUCGGGUAGGAGAGCGACAGCAACCGCCGGUUCCUCGCAGCUGCUCCCCUCGGCUUUCCAGAGCCUCACCGGUGAGCCCGUGUAUGGCACCAGCGCCGCAGUAUUGGGCGCGUUGGGAAGAUCUUGGCGGCCCUUACCGUGUUCUCACCAGUGCAGAACCGGGCUUUAG
This 210-nucleotide ribosomal RNA is filed under the name Triticum aestivum (bread wheat). Its description in RNAcentral is "partial small subunit ribosomal RNA". The record is from RNAcentral. Lineage: Eukaryota; Viridiplantae; Streptophyta; Magnoliopsida; Poales; Poaceae.